Molecule: transfer RNA, 83 nt
Filed under: Deltaproteobacteria bacterium
Lineage: Bacteria; Pseudomonadati; Myxococcota; Myxococcia
Also listed under: 4 other names
Description: tRNA-Ser
Rfam family: tRNA
About the family: Transfer RNA (tRNA) molecules are approximately 80 nucleotides in length. Their secondary structure includes four short double-helical elements and three loops (D, anti-codon, and T loops). Further hydrogen bonds mediate the characteristic L-shaped molecular structure. tRNAs have two regions of fundamental functional importance: the anti-codon, which is responsible for specific mRNA codon recognition, and the 3' end, to which the tRNAs corresponding amino acid is attached (by aminoacyl-tRNA synthetases). tRNAs cope with the degeneracy of the genetic code in two manners: having more than one tRNA (with a specific anti-codon) for a particular amino acid; and 'wobble' base-pairing, i.e. permitting non-standard base-pairing at the 3rd anti-codon position.
Source: RNAcentral
GGAGGAGUGGCCGAGUGGUCGAAGGCAGCGGUCUUGAAAACCGCCGAGCGCAAGCUCCGGGGGUUCGAAUCCCUCCUCCUCCG